GUCAUCUAUCCUGAGACUAAACUCCCUGACUCUCUCUGCCCCCAAAACGUGUCUCAUGAUGGGAAAGCUGGGGCAGAGAAACCUGGUUCACACCCCCAUCCCUACAGGCCGACUGCAGCGUGUCUGCUGCUGUUGUGUAUUUUCCUAACCAUCUGCAUCAUUGUCCUGAGUAUCUGUUUACAAAGAGCCAACCUGAAAUGCUCAGUG
Molecule: non-coding RNA, 207 nt
Organism: Paramormyrops kingsleyae
Lineage: Eukaryota; Metazoa; Chordata; Actinopteri; Osteoglossiformes; Mormyridae
Source: RefSeq, a predicted model, not a curated record